GUUUUACCCGUGGCAGAUCAGCUUCUGCUUUCUAAAGGGAAGAGCAUGUCAUUUUAUAACUCAAUUGGUUCUGCUUUCUGCCUGUUUUGCAUUUAAUUGUGCAGUCAUUCGGUACGUGGAGAGGGACAGAACAAAUAUCAUUAUUUUCAGCAGACAGUUUCUGCUGUUUUGCUCUCCUUCAUUAGAUAGAAACAACCACGCUCCUGAAAACCAAAAAUGAUCACGUAUAAAAAGUCCCCCCAAAAUUACACUUUCUAAGAAGGAACGUAACUGUAAUAACAACCCUCUCUCACAACAAACACGUUUUAGUUAAAAUGUGAUCAUCUGAGGCAACACCCUGGUUGUGCAGGAGCUUUCUGGUGCACCUUGGAGCUAUGAUGCCAAGGCUGAGGUUUGCUCCAUGCUCUGCUCCCCACGCUGGGCAGCAGGGCAGACCCAGGCACCCAGGCUCCCACCCGCAGCCCCUGGGGCCUUUCUGGAUCCCUGCCCUGGUGAUACAGACACAAAGUGAUUUUUGCAGGACAAAAGAAGAAACAGUUUCACUGCCUGGAGGAGGUACUACAGACGUCCUAACAUUUUCUGAAAGCUGAAAUCCCACAGGCUGUAUUCCAGCUGGGUUUGUUCGCCCUGAACGAUGUGCAUCCUCAAGAUGCCUUUAUUUGCUUUAGGUCCAAACGGAGCAGCCACGUGCCAGAUUUGUACUUUCACUAAUUAUCAGCUUGAAUUCGCUUUUAAAGUUUGGCCCUCGGUGCCCAAGCAGUAAUACUCCUUCCCUGCUCUACGUCCCUGCUCGGACAUGAACUCAAUGCCCACGUGCAGAGAAGGGCUCUCCGCAAUUUGUUGUCACUCAUCUCCCAGGUGACGGCCCCACCUCCCACCAGACCCACAGGAGACAGCCACGUGCCAUGGGAAGAACGACACCGAUAGUUACAAAUACCCACUUGGGGCUAAUCAGAACCACUUCCAGCUGUAGCUUUCCAAAAUGGGGGACUCUGCAGAGCAGCUUUUCCAGGGAGAAAUGGCAGCUGCUCCUUUCCUCUCCUUUGUCAAAUACGAGUGGAGAAUUUUACCGGAACGGACCUUUUCCUAUGAAAGCUCUGAUUCUGAAUGAGUGGGCCUCCUCCUCCAUCCCCCAGACAAUCCCAGCUCACACAUACUUUUCCAGAUACAAGCUGAAGCUUCUCCGGGAUGCGCUGGUUAUCUGCCUCAGAUUAAAAGAGUGAGUGCCAUGUUGGGAAGUGAUUUGUAUAGAUCGCUGGGUUUUAAUGAUAAGUAUAAAGGACUUCACCUCUUCAGGAAUGUCACUGCAGAAACUGAGAGCUGAACACGAUCUCCUUGGAAAGCAAUUUGCAGUGCAAUUACAAAAUACCGGGGUGUGUGUCAUGGAGAGCGUGUGGAUUGCCGAGGUUUAAUUCACCAUUUACUGGAGGCAGGCGUUCUGUUAUUACUGACAUCCUUGUGAUGUGCUCAGUGGUGGCUUUCACAUGCUAAAACAAAUUAAAGAAUUUUCUCCAGCCGAAAGGUCUGCCUUUACCUGAGUGCCUUUGUUCACUGCAUGCCCAGCUCUGAAGACGAUGAAAGUUGCAAGGAAUGCAUAACAGCUAAAUCAGCUUGCUGUGCAGCGUGUCAGUUAGCAUGUCAUCAGCAAAAGCUCAAAGAUCACCCCAAGCUGAUGAACCUGGACACAAAAAGAGUCCAGCCACUCCACAACCCCCUUUCCUCUUGGGUGGGGGCAGGGGUACGGCUGGAACAAUCUUAACGUUUUCAAAUGAUUAUUUUUUUAUCUUUAAAGAAAACAAACUGAAUCACUG
This is a long non-coding RNA of Numida meleagris (helmeted guineafowl), 1811 nucleotides long. The record is from Ensembl. Lineage: Eukaryota; Metazoa; Chordata; Aves; Galliformes; Numididae.